RNAcentral lists this ribosomal RNA (253 nucleotides) under uncultured bacterium. Its description in RNAcentral is "partial 16S ribosomal RNA". It matches the Rfam family "Bacterial small subunit ribosomal RNA", at positions 524 to 776 of the family's 1533-position model. The record is from RNAcentral.
UAUGUAGGGGGCGAGCGUUAUCCGGAAUUACUGGGCGUAAAGCGCACGCAGGCGGUUCGCCAAGUUUGGAGUGACAGUUGUCGGCUCAACCGACAAAGGACUUCAAAAACUGGUGAACUUGAGGACGAGAGAGGAACAUGGAACUCCAGGUGUAGUAGUGAAAUGCGUAGAUAUCUGGAAGAACACCAAUGGCGAAGGCAAUGUUCUGGCUCGUUUCUGACGCUCAGGUGCGAAAGCCAGGGGAGCGAACGGG